Chiloscyllium plagiosum (whitespotted bambooshark) is the source of this 394-nucleotide non-coding RNA. The record is from RefSeq and is a predicted model, not a curated record. Lineage: Eukaryota; Metazoa; Chordata; Chondrichthyes; Orectolobiformes; Hemiscylliidae.
UAAGAUCCCUUGGCGGCUGGUGAACUGUUCCUUGUCAUUCUUCCUGUUUUCUUUCCAAGUUCAUGAGAAGUCUAUACUUCUGGCUGCUCUACCUGUAUUAUUGCUUCUACAUGAAAUCCCUUUUAUGGCAACUUGGUUUUUGCUUGUGUCAACUUUUAGCAUGUUGCCCCUGUUGCUGAAGGAUGGACUGCUCCUUCCUUACACUGUUACCUCUUUGGCCUUCCUCCUCAUCACAACAACAUUUCUGUCAGCCUUUGAAAAAGUAUCAUUGGAGGAUCUGCAACUCGAACAAUUUUCUCAGGGAGUGAGGAAGUGCAUUCCACACUUUAUAAUUCCACCGUGUCUUGCAAAACUUGCAGUGAGUAAUGAUUCAGAGGUGCUGGUGUUGGACUGG